UGGAUUGUUCUCAAGUCGUAGAGAAAAACGAUGUUUCACUGGACCAUGUCCUGUGCCCAUUAAACCUAAAUCAUUUCAGGUCAUGACAUGUUCCAUCUGCUGCCAGCCCAAUGUGAGCGGUCCCCUAGUGGCCCAGAUCAACUGCGCCAUACACAGGCAGGACUGGGACGCAGAGUAUGAGAGUAUGACUCAUCAGGAGUUAUGUGAUAAACUCAUGGAAUUGUAUCCAAAACUUGGUGAGGUAACUGGUGGUUGGCUUCUUUAUAAGGCAGCAGGGGGUUGGGGAAGCUGGAAGCUCUCACUUGUGGCACCUGCAGACUGUAGGUACACUGGCAGGCUUAUCAAAACCUCCAAAACGGGAGAAUUCUGUCAUCUAUAUAGCUCCACUACAAGAUGAGCUCGAUGUCACUCCUUUGCCACCAUCAUCAGAAGAAUUUCGAGAUAUGCCUAAAGCAAUGUGCAAAAAAUGCAAAAUACUGUACCCACUUCAGAUCCUCACAAAUCACAUUAAGACUUGUCCUGAUGUUGUUGUGGUCGAAGAUGGAGAUGAAACUCU
This is a long non-coding RNA of Carassius auratus (goldfish), 556 nucleotides long. RefSeq lists it as uncharacterized. The transcript has 3 exons. The record is from RefSeq and is a predicted model, not a curated record. NCBI's taxonomy places the organism in Eukaryota, Metazoa, Chordata, Actinopteri, Cypriniformes, Cyprinidae.